This 292-nucleotide ribosomal RNA is filed under the name uncultured bacterium. Its description in RNAcentral is "partial 16S ribosomal RNA". It matches the Rfam family "Bacterial small subunit ribosomal RNA", at positions 505 to 796 of the family's 1533-position model. The record is from RNAcentral.
GUGCCAGCCGCCGCGGUAAUACGUAGGGGGCAAGCGUUGUCCGGAAUUAUUGGGCGUAAAGCGCGCGCAGGCGGUUUUUUAAGUCUGAUGUGAAAUCUUGUGGCUCAACCACAAGCGGUCAUUGGAAACUGGAGAACUUGAGUACAGAAGAGGAGAGUGGAAUUCCACGUGUAGCGGUGAAAUGCGUAGAUAUGUGGAGGAACACCAGUGGCGAAGGCGACUCUCUGGUCUGUAACUGACGCUGAGGCGCGAAAGCGUGGGGAGCGAACAGGAUUAGAAACCCUGGUAGUCC